GAUGAACGCUGGCGGCGUGCCUAAUACAUGCAAGUCGAGCGAACGGACGAGAAGCUUGCUUCGCUGAUGUUAGCGGCGGACGGGUGAGUAACACGUGGAUAACCUCCCUAUAAGACUGGGAUAACUUCGGGAACCCGUAGCUAAUACCGGCUAAUAUUUUGAAACGCAUGGUUCAAAAGUGAAAGACGGUCUUGCUGUCACUUAUAGAUGGAUCCGCGCUGCAUUAGCUAGUUGGUAAGGUAACGGCUUACCAAGGCAACGAUGCAUAGCCGACCUGAGAGGGUGAUCGGCCACACUGGAACUGAGACACGGUCCAGACUCCUACGGGAGGCAGCAGUAGGGAAUCUUCCGCAAUGGGCGAAAGCCUGACGGAGCAACGCCGCGUGAGUGAUGAAGGUCUUCGGAUCGUAAAACUCUGUUAUUAGGGAAGAACAUAUGUGUAAGUAACUGUGCACAUCUUGACGGUACCGAAUCAGAAAGCAACGGCUAACUACGUG
RNAcentral lists this ribosomal RNA (497 nucleotides) under uncultured bacterium. Its description in RNAcentral is "partial 16S ribosomal RNA". It matches the Rfam family "Bacterial small subunit ribosomal RNA", at positions 28 to 507 of the family's 1533-position model. The record is from RNAcentral.